GACGAACGCUGGCGGCGUGCCUAAUACAUGCAAGUCGAACGAACCGCGACUAAGUGCUUGCACUAAGUCAAGGUGAGUGGCGAACGGGUGAGUAACACGUGGGUAACCUACCUCAUAGUGGGGGAUAACAGUCGGAAACGACUGCUAAUACCGCAUAGGACAUAGGAUCACAUGAUCCAGUGAGGAAAGGUGGCGCAAGCUAUCGCUAAGAGAUGGACCCGCGGUGCAUUAGCUAGUUGGUAGGGUAAAGGCCUACCAAGGCGAUGAUGCAUAGCCGACCUGAGAGGGUGAUCGGCCACAUUGGGACUGAGACACAGCCCAAACUCCUACGGGAGGCAGCAGUAGGGAAUCUUCCGCAAUGGACGCAAGUCUGACGGAGCAACGCCGCGUGAGUGAAGAAGGUCUUCGGAUCGUAAAGCUCUGUUGUUAGAGAAGAACAGCGCAUAGAGUAACUGCUAUGCGUGUGACGGUAUCUAACCAGAAAGCCACGGCUAACUACGUG
RNAcentral lists this ribosomal RNA (502 nucleotides) under uncultured bacterium. Its description in RNAcentral is "partial 16S ribosomal RNA". It matches the Rfam family "Bacterial small subunit ribosomal RNA", at positions 28 to 507 of the family's 1533-position model. The record is from RNAcentral.